Schistosoma rodhaini is the source of this 45-nucleotide non-coding RNA. NCBI's taxonomy places the organism in Eukaryota, Metazoa, Platyhelminthes, Trematoda, Strigeidida, Schistosomatidae. The record is from Rfam.
AUCCAGAUGACCAGUUCCAAAUCAGACGAAAUGCACGUCCUGGAU